RNAcentral lists this unclassified non-coding RNA (173 nucleotides) under Aspergillus nomiae. RNAcentral describes it as "Aspergillus nomius miscellaneous RNA". The record is from RNAcentral. Lineage: Eukaryota; Fungi; Ascomycota; Eurotiomycetes; Eurotiales; Aspergillaceae.
GCUGCCCAUCAAGCACGGCUUGUGUGUUGGGUCGUCGUCCCCCUCUCCGGGGGGGGACGGGCCCUAAAGGCAGCGGCGGCACCGCGUCCGAUCCUCGAGCGUAUGGGGCUUUGUCACCCGCUCUGUAGGCCCGGCCGGCGCUUGCCGAACGCAAAACAACCAUUCUUUCCAGG